This 748-nucleotide long non-coding RNA is filed under the name Homo sapiens (human). RNAcentral's name for it is "non-protein coding lnc-ENO1-3:1". The record is from RNAcentral. Lineage: Eukaryota; Metazoa; Chordata; Mammalia; Primates; Hominidae.
GUCAGCUAUUGCUGUGUUCUUUCAAGGUCUUAUUUGCCAACUUCUCAUUAAUCUUUUGUUAUAGUUAAUGAUUUUUUAUCUUCCCUUGUUCAAAUUACCAUGUAGUUUCUUUCUCCUGAUUGGACUUAGGCUAUGACUGGACAUAGAGUGUUCUGUUAGAAUCAUAAAGAGAGAGCAUAUUUGGGGAGAGAGAUGGACAGAGUUUGGGACAUGACCAAUUUUAAGUGCAGAACACUCAGAUAUCCAAGUGCCUGUCCUAUAUGGGUUUGGAAUGAGCUCCAAAGACCUGGAUUGGAGAUUGCCCAGGAAGAGUGUGAGGAACAAGAUGACAGUAUGGUCAGGAUAGAGUCCUGUAGGUUACAGCCUGUUCACAUGAAAAGGAACCUCCUAAGGAGGCUGGGGAAGACUGAUUGGAGGGAUACUAUAGUUUAUUAUUAUAUUAUUCAUAUGGUUUUUGUGAAGGUGAAAUGAGUUGAUAUUAUAUAAAGCACUGAGCAUAGUGUCUGGCACGUAAGUCCUUAGUAAAUGGGACUACUGACUGUGCUGUUGUCUGCUGGGCAAUGUGGUGGGUGUCAGGGAUAGAGGAUGACCAGGGCUGCAGGCUCUGCCUUGAGGGGUGGGGAAUGGGAAGAGGCUUGUUAAGUGUGUUAUAGUGAGUGGUAGGUGUCAGAAAGGCGUGAAUAGGCUGGGUGUGGUGGCUCAUGCCUGUAAUCCCAGCACUUUGGGAGGCUGAGGCAGGAGGAUUGUU